CAUUAGAUGACUGAAAAGCAAGUACUGGUCUCUUAAACCAAUUUAUAGUAAAAUAGCGGCUACUUCUAAUGA
Molecule: transfer RNA, 72 nt
Filed under: Scopura longa
Lineage: Eukaryota; Metazoa; Arthropoda; Insecta; Plecoptera; Scopuridae
Description: tRNA-Lys
Source: RNAcentral